This 76-nucleotide transfer RNA is filed under the name Aureliella helgolandensis. RNAcentral's name for it is "Planctomycetes bacterium Q31a tRNA-Pro". It matches the Rfam family "tRNA". Rfam says of the family: Transfer RNA (tRNA) molecules are approximately 80 nucleotides in length. Their secondary structure includes four short double-helical elements and three loops (D, anti-codon, and T loops). Further hydrogen bonds mediate the characteristic L-shaped molecular structure. tRNAs have two regions of fundamental functional importance: the anti-codon, which is responsible for specific mRNA codon recognition, and the 3' end, to which the tRNAs corresponding amino acid is attached (by aminoacyl-tRNA synthetases). tRNAs cope with the degeneracy of the genetic code in two manners: having more than one tRNA (with a specific anti-codon) for a particular amino acid; and 'wobble' base-pairing, i.e. permitting non-standard base-pairing at the 3rd anti-codon position. Lineage: Bacteria; Pseudomonadati; Planctomycetota; Planctomycetia; Pirellulales; Pirellulaceae. The record is from RNAcentral.
CGGGGCGUGGCUCAGCUUGGUAGAGCGUCUCCGUUCGGGGCGCGGAGGUCGCAAGUUCAACUCUUGUCGCCCCGAC